GUGCUCAUUUCAGUAGCACAUAUAUUAAAAUUGGAAUGAUACAGAGAAGAUUAGCAUGGCCCCUGUGCAAGAGUGACAUGCAAAUUUGUGAAGCAUUCCAUAUUUUU
RNAcentral lists this small nuclear RNA (107 nucleotides) under Carlito syrichta (Philippine tarsier). The record is from RNAcentral. Lineage: Eukaryota; Metazoa; Chordata; Mammalia; Primates; Tarsiidae.